RNAcentral lists this ribosomal RNA (468 nucleotides) under uncultured bacterium. RNAcentral describes it as "partial 16S ribosomal RNA". It matches the Rfam family "Bacterial small subunit ribosomal RNA", at positions 28 to 507 of the family's 1533-position model. The record is from RNAcentral.
GACGAACGCUGGCGGCGUGCUUAACACAUGCAAGUCGAACGGAAAGGCCCUGCUUUUGUGGGGUGUUCGAGUGGCGAACGGGUGAGUAACACGUGAGUAACCUGCCCUUGACUUUGGGAUAACUUCAGGAAAGUGGGGCUAAUACCGGAUAGGAGCUCCUGCUGCAUGGUGGGGGUUGGAAAGCUCCGGCGGUUGGGGAUGGACUCGCGGCUUAUCAGCUUGUUGGUGGGGUAGUGGCUUACCAAGGCUUUGACGGGUAGCCGGCAUGAGAGGGUGACCGGCCACAAUGGGACUGAGAUACGGCCCAGACUCCUACGUGAGGCAGCAGUGGGAAAUAUUGCACAAUGGGCGGAAGCGUGAUGCAGCGACGUCGCGUGCGUGAAGACGGCCUUCUGGUUGUAAACCGCUUUCGCCUGUGACGAAGCGUGAGUGACGGUAAUGAGUAAAGAAGCACCGGCUAACUACGUG